CCUACGGGAGGCAGCAGUGAGGAAUAUUGGUCAAUGGACGAGAGUCUGAACCAGCCAAGUAGCGUGAAGGAUGACUGCCCUAUGGGUUGUAAACUUCUUUUAUAUGGGAAUAAAACAGGGUAUGCAUACCCUCUUGUAUGUACCAUAUGAAUAAGGAUCGGCUAACUCCGUGCCAGCAGCCGCGGUAAUACGGAGGAUCCGAGCGUUAUCCGGAUUUAUUGGGUUUAAAGGGAGCGUAGGUGGAUUGUUAAGUCAGUUGUGAAAGUUUGCGGCUCAACCGUAAAAUUGCAGUUGAAACUGGCAGUCGUGAGUACAGUAGAGGUGAGCGGAAUUCGUGGUGUAGCGGUGAAAUGCUUAGAUAUCACGAAGAACUCCGAUUGCGAAGGCAGCUCACUGGACUGCAACUGACACUGAUGCUCGAAAGUGUGGGUAUCAAACAGGAUUAGAUACCCCAGUAGUC
Molecule: ribosomal RNA, 460 nt
Filed under: uncultured bacterium
Lineage: Bacteria
Description: partial 16S ribosomal RNA
Rfam family: Bacterial small subunit ribosomal RNA
Source: RNAcentral